This 481-nucleotide ribosomal RNA is filed under the name Diaphanes lampyroides. RNAcentral describes it as "partial 16S ribosomal RNA". The record is from RNAcentral. Lineage: Eukaryota; Metazoa; Arthropoda; Insecta; Coleoptera; Lampyridae.
GUCUUUUUGAUAAUAAUUUAAGGUCUAAUCUGCUCAAUGAUAAAUUUAAAUAGCCGCAGUACUUUGACUGUGCAAAGGUAGCAUAAUAAUUAGUUUCUUUAUUAGUAACUUGAAUGAAUGAUUGGACAAGAAAAUUUCUGUCUCUUUUUAAUUUUUUUUGAAUUUAAUUUUUAAGUUAAAAUGCUUAAUUGUAUAUAAAAGACGAGAAGACCCCAUAGAGUUUUAUUUUUAAAAAUUUUAGUAUAAAUUUUAUAAUUAAAAAAUUAGUUGGGGUGACUUAAAGAUUAAAUUAACUCUUUAAAUUAAAAAUCAUUAAUUUGUGAAUAAUAAUUCUAAUUAUUUUAAAUUUAAAUAAAAUUACCUUGGGGAUAACAGCGUAAUUUUUUUUAGAGUUCUUAUCAAAUAAGGAGAUUGCGACCUCGAUGUUGGAUUAAAAUUUAUUUUAGGUGUAGAAGCUAAAAAUUAAGUCUGUCGACUUAAA